UACAGAGGGGGCGAGCGUUAUUCGGAAUUAUUGGGCGUAAAGGGCGCGUAGGCGGCCUGGCAAGUGGAAGGUGAAAUCCCUCGGCUUAACCGAGGAACUGCCCUCCAAACUGCUUGGCUUGAGUCCGGGAGAGGUGAGUGGAAUUCCCAGUGUAGCGGUGAAAUGCGUAGAUAUUGGGAGGAACACCAGUGGCGAAGGCGGCUCACUGGACCGGAACUGACGCUGAGGCGCGAAAGCGUGGGGAGCAAACAGG
This 253-nucleotide ribosomal RNA is filed under the name uncultured bacterium. RNAcentral describes it as "partial 16S ribosomal RNA". It matches the Rfam family "Bacterial small subunit ribosomal RNA", at positions 524 to 776 of the family's 1533-position model. The record is from RNAcentral.